RNAcentral lists this ribosomal RNA (613 nucleotides) under Bacillus sp. FJAT-4494. RNAcentral describes it as "bacterial SSU rRNA". It matches the Rfam family "Bacterial small subunit ribosomal RNA", at positions 62 to 658 of the family's 1533-position model. The record is from RNAcentral. Lineage: Bacteria; Bacillati; Bacillota; Bacilli; Caryophanales; Bacillaceae.
UCGAGCGAAUCGAUGGGAGCUUGCUCCCUGAGAUUAGCGGCGGACGGGUGAGUAACACGUGGGCAACCUGCCUAUAAGACUGGGAUAACUUCGGGAAACCGGAGCUAAUACCGGAUACGUUCUUUUCUCGCAUGAGAGAAGAUGGAAAGACGGUUUACGCUGUCACUUAUAGAUGGGCCCGCGGCGCAUUAGCUAGUUGGUGAGGUAAUGGCUCACCAAGGCGACGAUGCGUAGCCGACCUGAGAGGGUGAUCGGCCACACUGGGACUGAGACACGGCCCAGACUCCUACGGGAGGCAGCAGUAGGGAAUCUUCCGCAAUGGACGAAAGUCUGACGGAGCAACGCCGCGUGAACGAAGAAGGCCUUCGGGUCGUAAAGUUCUGUUGUUAGGGAAGAACAAGUACCAGAGUAACUGCUGGUACCUUGACGGUACCUAACCAGAAAGCCACGGCUAACUACGUGCCAGCAGCCGCGGUAAUACGUAGGUGGCAAGCGUUGUCCGGAAUUAUUGGGCGUAAAGCGCGCGCAGGUGGUUCCUUAAGUCUGAUGUGAAAGCCCACGGCUCAACCGUGGAGGGUCAUUGGAAACUGGGGAACUUGAGUGCAGAAGAGGA